RNAcentral lists this unclassified non-coding RNA (281 nucleotides) under uncultured Mortierella. RNAcentral describes it as "sequence contains ITS2". The record is from RNAcentral. Lineage: Eukaryota; Fungi; Mortierellomycota; Mortierellomycetes; Mortierellales; Mortierellaceae.
AACGCAUAUUGCGCUCUUUGGUAUUCCGAAGAGCAUGCUUGUUUGAGUAUCAGUAAACACCUCAAAGACAUUUCUGAUUUAUUUUCUGGAAUGGCUUUGGACUUGAGCAAUCCCAACACCAGUCGUUUACGAUCGGCGGAGGGUUGCUUGAAAUGCAGGUGCAGCUGGACAUUCUCCUGAGCUAUAAGCAUAUCUAUUUAGUCCCGUCAAACGGAUUAUUACUUUUGCUGCAGCUAACAUAAAGGGAGUCUGACCGUAUUGGCUGACUGAUGCAGGAUUUC